UAUGAGUUAGUGGCGGACGGGUGAGUAACGCGUGGGUAACCUGCCGUAUACCGGGGGAUAACACCUGGAAACAGGUGCUAAUACCGCAUAAGCGCACGGGACCGCAUGGUCCAGUGUGAAAAACCGAGGUGGUAUGCGAUGGACCCGCGUCUGAUUAGCCAGUUGGCAGGGUAACGGCCUACCAAAGCGACGAUCAGUAGCCGGCCUGAGAGGGUGGACGGCCACAUUGGGACUGAGACACGGCCCAAACUCCUACGGAAGGCAGCAG
This 268-nucleotide ribosomal RNA is filed under the name uncultured bacterium. RNAcentral describes it as "partial 16S ribosomal RNA". It matches the Rfam family "Bacterial small subunit ribosomal RNA", at positions 86 to 354 of the family's 1533-position model. The record is from RNAcentral.